This 514-nucleotide ribosomal RNA is filed under the name bacterium PH-EB009. RNAcentral describes it as "bacterial SSU rRNA". It matches the Rfam family "Bacterial small subunit ribosomal RNA", at positions 991 to 1504 of the family's 1533-position model. The record is from RNAcentral.
CGGACUCCUGGAGACAGGGCCUUCCCCUUCGGGGGACAGAGUGACAGGUGGUGCAUGGUUGUCGUCAGCUCGUGUCGUGAGAUGUUGGGUUAAGUCCCGCAACGAGCGCAACCCUUGACCUUAGUUGCCAGCAUUCAGUUGGGCACUCUAAGGUGACUGCCGGUGACAAACCGGAGGAAGGUGGGGAUGACGUCAAAUCAUCAUGCCCCUUAUGACCUGGGCUACACACGUGCUACAAUGGAUGGUACAAAGGGCUGCGAGACCGCGAGGUUAAGCCAAUCCCAGAAAACCAUUCCCAGUUCGGAUUGCAGGCUGCAACCCGCCUGCAUGAAGCCGGAAUCGCUAGUAAUCGCGGAUCAGCAUGCCGCGGUGAAUACGUUCCCGGGCCUUGUACACACCGCCCGUCACACCACGAGAGUUUGUAACACCCGAAGUCGGUGAGGUAACCUUUACGGAGCCAGCCGCCGAAGGUGGGACAGAUGAUUGGGGUGAAGUCGUAACAGGGUAAGCCGUA